RNAcentral lists this long non-coding RNA (3074 nucleotides) under Fukomys damarensis (Damara mole-rat). RNAcentral describes it as "lncRNA (ENSFDAG00000031922.1)". The record is from RNAcentral. Lineage: Eukaryota; Metazoa; Chordata; Mammalia; Rodentia; Bathyergidae.
CAGAAACUGGGGGACCCAAAGAGCAGGAAAGUCAGCCCAGACCUGGCCCGAGUCCACAGGAGCUGCUGCCCACUUGCAAAUGAAUCACAGUCACUUCCCCAAAGUUUUCCACCCGGACCGAAAAGCAGCCCCAGCCACCUCCUAGCAGACCUCUCUGGGCGGGCUGCGCUGGGAGAGCGCCCGCCCCGCCCCCUCCACGCCGCGGCGCAGCCAUGCGGAAGCCAGGCUUCCUUGCAGGGCCGCUCACAAGCCCAGACCUCGCUUCUCCCUGAAGCCCCCAUGUCCACCCGCGAAUGCACCAGACAUGGGAACACUGGACUGGCGCCUUCCCGGAAAUCCCCAGCCCUAGUCAGGAGCAGCCCGCGGGUCAGGCUCGGGGAUCCCCUGCCCCCACUGGCCCUCCACGGUCAGGGCUGCGAGUUCCAAGGCUCCCGGAACUCCUCUUCCCUGUCUCUUCUUGAGGAUGCGAACUUCCAGGAAGCCCUCCAGGACUGCAGCUCAGCUCGGCACCACUCCAGCCACACCCCAGUUCGAUCCAGUGGAGGGGCCGCUCCCUUCUGACCCGGAAAGGAGCCUGGUGGUGAAGACACGAGACACACAACAGAUGGAGCCUGAGACCUUUAACUCCAAACCCACUCGGCCCAUAAAUGUUGCUCCUGGACCAGGGGCAGAGGCCAGGGCAGGGAGUGGGGAGGACAGUAUUUCCAUCCAGGUGAGCAGUGACUCGCUAGGCCUGACUCCGAGAAGCUGUGUGGAGGAUAUCCCUGGGACGUGACUCCUGUUUCAGGUGCCUGGAGGAGUCGCCCCGCUGCGCCACGCCUGUCCACCUCUGGGCACUCCAGGCUCACAGUUGGAGGGCCUGUUCCGUGUCCUCUCCUCUCUCCCCUUUCCCCCUGACGAGGACGGGCAGCAGAGGGGCCCUGGGCUGUCCUGCUCCAGCGCCCUCAGUGGACCUCCCCUGGGCCCUGCCUUCCAGUCUCACACCACGCCAGUAUGGGCUGCACAUGCUGAAACCUCAGCUUCUCACUCUGCCCUUGGCCUUCGCCUUCCCGUCCCCCGACAGGGCCUGAUCCUCAGGACCCCCUGGGCCCCUGACUAUUGUGUCCACAGCCAGUUUGUGUUGGGGACUCCUCGUGGGUCUCCCACCAGGGGUCCAGGGCCUGCGCUCUCGUGGGCGGCUCAACCUCCUGACGGCGUCCUCUGGAAGCCAGGCAUGUUGGUCCAACAGACUCAGCCACAAUUAGCCCAUUCCUUGUCCCUGCCCUAUAAAUAUUCAUUCUUUGUGAUAAAGGUGCUUUUUAAAAAACGCAAAGCUCAUUUGGAGAAGGAACUGAACUGCUGCCAAACAUGGCUGCCAGGCUGAGCCCCACUGUGGAUGGAGAAAAGCCAUCACCAAGCUGCCUUUCUCAGGGGCCCACUCGGGCACUCUCUGGGGUUUUGUUUAAUUUGGGAUGGGUUUUGGCUCUUACACUCAGCAUUCAUAAAUGUCACAGCACUCUUGGGUUAUGAGUAGGAUCCGCAUGCUCCCCCGGGGUGCUGAGCCCCAAAGUCCUGGGCAGGCCAUGACCCCUGCCUGCAGGGACACUUCGCAUGGCCAUCCUCACAGUGUGCUGACUGCAGCCCCCACUCACACCCAAAGGGGCUUGGGCUGAUUGUCCUAAGUUGUCCAGAAGCCGGGUCUCGAUCCCCACACCCAGGAGCCCCAGUAAACAUAAAGAUGAGGUCCCCAGAGGUCUGUGGAUCUGGGUCUGAGGUAGAGGCGACCUUCUCCUCUGCCUGUGGAUGGGUGGCGAUGUUCAGGACCUGCUGUGAUAGCCGCAGGUGCGCUGUCAGGAGAGUGUGCGAUACCAGCCCCUGGUGCGGAGAGGCCCUGUGCUAGUGGCUCCUGAGCAGGCAUUCACUUAGCUGCCACCAAGUCCCAGAAACAAGCCCCAUGCCCAGUGGUGCUCUGACGCACUGGCCAGAGGAGCAGCCACUCUGCAGACACACCCCCGUGGCAGGGUCACAGUGGAGAUCUCUGCAGGGUACAAGAGGGUGGCUCUGACUUGACUAUAGGCUGGUUCUGAUGCACCGACUCGGGCUCUGUCUCCUUCCUAGUGGCUGCUCUGUCCUCAAUCCUGGCUCCACUGGACCUGUCCACCAAAGGCCAAUCGAGAGACCCCGUCCGUGUCCGUCUCUAUACUGGGGCACAGCGUGGUGUGUUCUGCUCAUAAUGGAGCAUCAUUGGCAAUGACAUUGUGAAGUCCUGGUUUCACCACAGAUUUUGCUGACAACCACCCCAGAGUCACAGGAGAUAGGAUGUCUGUGGCACUGACUUCCUGCCCUAGGACUUCCAAGUACUGUAACCAACUGGUCCCAGGUGCACACAGUGGCGUGGGUGGGGGUUGGUCUGAUGCUGUUUCUUUGGAAGAGAUUCUGAGAUAAUGGCCACAAAGUCGCUUGACAGAUUUAAUCUUGUGCCAUGCUCUGAGGUAGAGGACUUUCUAGCAUGCAUGAGGCCCUGGAUUCAACCCCUAGUAUCAAAAAAAGAAAAGAAAACAAAACAAAAGGAGCUGCCAUUUUGACCUGGCUCACCACAAUUCUAGAAAACCUUCUCUAACCCUCCUCCUCUGCCGCUUACACCACUUAGACCAGCAGGAUGGCGUCCCCAGGGCAGCCUCCUGGUGUAACAUCCCAGCUGGCCUUAGCCCAGAAGCUCUGGCUCUGUGGUAGGCAUGGUGCUGCUUCCCGGGACUCAGCUCUGCUCCUAGCAGGGAGCUCAGGUCUGCAGCUGUGCAGGAGACAAGUCUGCUGUGGCUCCUGCUCGUGAUCCGAUCCCCCAUGAUCUGCAGUGGACCCCAGCAUCCCACACACUGGCCUCACAGAGCCUCACCUAUUCCAAGGUCCCACCUGUCCCUUGGAAGAGGACCUGUAACAUCUUGGAAUGUCACCCAAAACAGCAGACUUGCUAAGGCAGCUCUGUGGGGACACAAUUCUGCUGAGGGGAAUGGGAACCAAAACUGGCUUCCCUUCGGCAUGUGGCUGUGGCUUGUCCUCCUUUCCGCUCCCCUGAGAGCACCGUUUCCCUCUGCCCU